GCGAACGCUGGCGGCAGGCCUAACACAUGCAAGUCGAACGAACCUUUCGGGGUUAGUGGCGGACGGGUGAGUAACACGUGGGAACGUGCCUUUAGGUUCGGAAUAACUCAGGGAAACUUGUGCUAAUACCGAAUGUGCCCUUCGGGGGAAAGAUUAAUCGCCUUUAGAGCGGCCCGCGUCUGAUUAGCUAGUUGGUUGAGGUAAUGGCUCACCAAGGCGACGAUCAGUAGCUGGUCUGAGAGGAUGAUCAGCCACAUUUGGACUGAGACACGGCCCAAACUCCUACGGGAGGCAGCAGUGGGGAAUCUUGCGCAAUGGGCGAAAGCCUGACGCAGCCAUGCCGCGUGAAUGAUGAAGGUCUUAGGAUUGUAAAAUUCUUUCACCGGGGACGAUAAUGACGGUACCCGGAGAAGAAGCCCCGGCUAACUUCGUG
Molecule: ribosomal RNA, 433 nt
Filed under: uncultured bacterium
Lineage: Bacteria
Description: partial 16S ribosomal RNA
Rfam family: Bacterial small subunit ribosomal RNA
Source: RNAcentral